GGCGUCAUCGUCUAAUGGUAAGACAUCUGGUCCUAAAAUAAUUAAUCUUAUUCCAGAAAAUGCAGGUUCGAAUCCUGACAACGCCA
This 86-nucleotide transfer RNA is filed under the name Zhouia amylolytica. It matches the Rfam family "tRNA". Rfam says of the family: Transfer RNA (tRNA) molecules are approximately 80 nucleotides in length. The record is from RNAcentral. Lineage: Bacteria; Pseudomonadati; Bacteroidota; Flavobacteriia; Flavobacteriales; Flavobacteriaceae. RNAcentral also lists the same sequence under 1 other name.